This 437-nucleotide ribosomal RNA is filed under the name uncultured bacterium. Its description in RNAcentral is "partial 16S ribosomal RNA". It matches the Rfam family "Bacterial small subunit ribosomal RNA", at positions 29 to 507 of the family's 1533-position model. The record is from RNAcentral.
AGCGAACGCUGGCGGCAGGCUUAACACAUGCAAGUCGAGCGGGCAUCCUUGUGGUGUCAGCGGCAGACGGGUGAGUAACGCGUGGGAACGUGCCCUUCGGUUCGGAAUAACUCAGGGAAACUUGAGCUAAUACCGGAUACGUGCGAGAGCAGAAAGGUUUAUCUGCCGAAGGAUCGGCCCGCGUCUGAUUAGCUAGUUGGUGAGGUUACGGCUCACCAAGGCGACGAUCAGUAGCUGGUCCGAGAGGAUGAUCAGCCACACUGGGACUGCGACACGGCCCAGACUCCUACGGGAGGCAGCAGUGGGGAAUAUUGGACAAUGGGGGCAACCCUGAUCCAGCCAUGCCGCGUGAGUGAUGACGGCCUUAGGGUUGUAAAGCUCUUUUCUCCGGGACGAUAAUGACGGUACCGGAGGAAUAAGCCCCGGCUAACUUCGUG